This 668-nucleotide unclassified non-coding RNA is filed under the name Hevea brasiliensis (rubber tree). The record is from RNAcentral. Lineage: Eukaryota; Viridiplantae; Streptophyta; Magnoliopsida; Malpighiales; Euphorbiaceae.
GAACACAAGAGAUUGAAUCAAAGAGCAAAAUACUCAAUAUAUUAAAUAAAAUCAAACUAAAUCCAUAACUGAAUUGGAAGUAUUACAUCCCUAAUCCUAGAAUAAAGAAAAUUACUCACACAUAGUGAGUUUUAUAACUAAAUUUGAAAUAAGAAAAAGAGAAAACAUCAGAAGAAUUAAAAUAAAGAAACCCUAAGUGAGCAUUUGCAGUUUUGGACUUGUGGAACUUUAGCUGAAAAUCUCUUUCAGAAUUUUCCCAAACGAUCUCUUCUUAUGCCUUUGCAAAGGCAGAAAGUAAUGCUUGAAUUAAAAGAAAAAUCCCCCCUUUUCAAAACUCUUGACUUGCUGUACUUGUAUCUGGUGUAAAAAACCAUUGUUCUAGAGUCCCAAAGUCCUUAUAAGUCUUCUUGGAGUCAAUUAGAAAGAAGGGGAGUCGAGCUUAAAGUUCUGUUUGUUAAAAGUACACGGGGCGUGCUGUUGCUUUAGGUUACACGGGUUUCACCUGUGCUAUCUUCUACCCCCAGUCUCCUUUGGCUUUUCCUGUGUUCAACAGGCUACAUAGGUCGUGCUGUUUAAUUCCUUCUGAGAUCGCCUUCACACGGGUCGUGUAAUUAGUUACAAGCCUCGUGUAGUCCCUUUUGUUCCCCAAACUUUAUUUUCAGACUUCU